Molecule: non-coding RNA, 3938 nt
Organism: Cinara cedri
Lineage: Eukaryota; Metazoa; Arthropoda; Insecta; Hemiptera; Aphididae
Source: the annotation of a GenBank genome assembly
GGCGUUUUGUUCACUUGACGCACAACUGUAUACACACGAGUAUACUAUUGUAGGUGGGCCUUACUGAAUUCAUGCCGCAUCGGACGGUUAACCGCACAAUAAUAUUAUCUGCGAUCCGCGUGCACGCGAAAUGUUCAGAUAUAUUUAUUUCGCCGUGUGCCUGUUGUGUCUGUUUUACAUACUCGCUACGUGUUACGCGUUAAUGAUCAAUUUAAAGACCUGAUGUUUAAUUCGGUCGCUGCACAUGACGACGAGUAAGUAAACAAUGGUAUCGCAACAAUAUUAUUACUCGUUCACUCGUUCACGUAUCGUCAUAUUUUGUGGGCGGUUGAUACCGUAUCCGUCGCAGCGAAGAGGUAACGUGUAAGCAUUUAUUAUCAUCAUUACUUUUUUUUUCCCGUUGUCCACCAAACUCGUGCUCCACCGUAAAUCCAUCAUUGUGUCCAUAUAUAAUGUAUUAUGCACAAAUUCGUUGGCGGUAUUAGAUUAAUAAUACAUACUUGUGUAAAAUACAAUCACGUUUUUCUUCUAGUACUCAACAUUCGAAAUAUAUAGGUGUUAACUCGGGUGUUGUAUAUUGAUGUAUUUGACGAAAAAUAGUCCGACGGCGGUGCGAUUAUUUUAUACAAUGACGAUGUUUUACAUGUUUUAAUACAAGGUGUUGGAUGAUCAAUCCUCGACAAGACGUCUCUCUCAUCUCGGAAGUAUUACUUUUUUCCGGAAAUUAUUCGGUUUUCAUUUAGAUCAUUUAUGAAACGAGCAACUUUAAAAUGUUACAUUACCGUUAUUUUUCGUCAUAACUAUUUUUGGAGUUGAAACGCUGCCCAUUUUUAAUUUUCAAACGACAACUUAUAUUAAAAUUUCCAUGAAUGGGUGAAAUUUUAGAUUAUAGACAUUUUCAAUUUCCGUCAAAACUAUUGACGUUGGUAUUGCAAUUUUAAGUUCGGGUAAAUGAAGAGAAGUGGAGCAUAAUUUGUGUGCCGAUGCAACGCGCGGAAAUACUCUCCCCAUAGUCAUACUUAAAAGUAAAACAUCUCGUCAACAGAAACUUGAAAUUAAAGUUACCUAUGUAAUAAUAUAAAAUACACGAAUACACAAUUAUUAUUAUAUUAAUAAAGUAAUACAAUUAAAAAAAAAAAAAAACAGUAAUAAAUUGUUUAGAAUGAUAUUUGGUUAGUUUUUUUUUUGUAUUCUAAGAAAAACGAAGAACGUAUGAAUGGUUGUAUUAUUAUAAAUUAUUAUAAUUUGUUUAAUUUUUACGGUUUAUAUUUUCUAUCCAAAAUCUUGCUUCAAUCGAAAACCAAGAAGACACCUUUUCUAUUGCAUUUAAGUUUAAAAGUUACUGCGUUGGGGAUGUUAUUUUUUUGAUUUUCUAAAUAGUUUUGAUAAUAUUUGAGAAAAACCAAAAAAAAACGGAAAAGUAGGUACCUACAUGCCAUUAUAGUUUCAUGAUUUUCGAUUUUUGUUUUUUCGUUUUGAUGCGGUUAAAAAAAUUGCAGAGAUUUGACAUGUUAACAGUAUACUCUAUGGUUUUUCUGUGGGCGUAGUAAAAUUUUUAAAAUAUUGUUGAUAUCAAUUAUUUUUCGGAAAAGCUGACAAACUUUUUCUUACCCAAAUGUUUUUGAUGGUAUUUUAUACAUAUUUUUUUAAAUAAUAUAAAUCAUAAAUCUAUAUCUAUAUAUAUAUACAUUGUAUUCUCAAUUUUUUUUCUUUUAAAUGUAUUAUUUUUAUUUUUGAGUUUAUCUAUUAUAAAUAUAGAUAAAUUAAAUGUUACAUGAUUAACUAAAGGUGAUAUUGAAUAAAUGGAGGAAUUUGUGGAAUUACAUAUGAUUGUUUUAACCAUAUCUUAAAAAUUCGGGUUCUAAAUCGCCGAAUCUAGAGUUCCUCCUGGCUUCUAUAGUAAAAAAGAACAGUAAAUAAGUUUUGUUUGCUUACUCUGCACAUAAAUAUAUAAAAAAAUGUUGGAUAAUGUGUAGCUAUUCUUAUAGUGAUGAAAAAAAAGUAAGUAGUUUAAGAAAUAUAUAUUAUUAAUACUUUUUUUUUUCUUUUAGGUAGUUGUUUAAUAUUCUGGUGCAGUAAAUAUGACAACAAAUUCCUAUGGUAAGAUGACAUAGGUAUUUUAUUAUAAUACCUAUUAAGAUAAACGCAACAUCGUCAGUCGUUAUCUUAAAUCUACACCACUUGUGCCAAGACUAAGCCUACAGAGUUCAAAAUAUAAAUUAAGAAAAACCAGGUAAUUAUAGAACGAUAGGUACAUAAUAUUAACACAGUUUUAAAUACAUCAACAAUGGAAAAUAUAAUAUUGCGUAUUAUUGUUUGAAUUAUUUUUUUUUAAAACGCGACUAAAAAAAAUUAGAAUAUCUAGAAUAAUUAAAUUUAGACUUAUGUAUAACGAAACACCAUUGCUCAUGAAAAACGAUUCUGAGGAUCUGAGUGAAUUCUGGAAAAACAUAUUGUAGUAAAUUGUGCAUUUUAAAGAAACCAAAAAUUAUUUAAUCCUAAUAAAAUCUAAAAACAUGAAAAGUUUUAAUCACUUUAAAUAGUUUACUGAUAUCAAAAGUGAUUUAAAAAUUGUAUCAUGACUAGAAAUAGCUAUAAUAUUAGUAUUCUUUGAAAUUUGCAAAUUUUUAAAAUUAUUUUCAAUCAAUUGUUUACAACAAAAAAGCAAAAGAGCUGAUACUGCUAAUGGUUCUGCCACUCUUGUAGGUGAUGGGAAGCGGGGAAGGAGAGAUAUAUAGAUCAGAUACAGGAGAAGAGCGAUUUGGAAAAAGCCCCCCUGUUUGCUACCUAAUAUAAGUACUCAUAGCUUGAUUUUCAUCAUAAAUGAUUACAAUUAUUCUCUUCGCAUCCCAUAAUCAUGUACCUGAUCCUACCCUAAUUACCAAUACUUUAAUGCAGGAACAAUAAUUAUGUCAAUAAUAAAAUUAUGUGAACACUCGUAAUACUAAGUAAAAGUGAUGUGUAUCUACUACCUAAUAGUCUAAUAUUUGAACAUAUUUAUUGUCUAUUAAAGCUGGAAUAAACCCAGCGUAACCAAACUAAUAACUAUAGUACUAGUACCUAUAAUACACCCACUCUUGUAUAUAUUUAAUAUUUAUUUUUUAUUUGUUUUCAAUUGGGUUCGGCGUGUGACUGUUUCGAGCAUAUAUAUUGUAUUUAUAUAAAGUAGAACUACUUAGGGCUUAGGUGGAUAAUGUUUAAGGUAGUUGUGUUACGAGAUAUAAUUAUAAAAAUUGUAGAAUAAAUAAAUAGCAAAAUAAUAUCUUUAAUGUUAUUCCAAAAUCAAUACCUGUGCUAUAACAUGUUGAUGUUUCAGAAAUGUUUCCAUUGAAUAUUUGCUAUACAUAGUUUCACAGUGACGAGUCAUGCAAGUUAAAGCAAAAAAACAAUUGAUCAGCAUGUAUAUUGUUAAUAGUUACACAGAUCAAAAAAGAACAAACAAUAGCUGUAGACGCAUUAACAAAUUCAUAAUUGUAUAGUACAUAAACAUUUUUUAAAUCACUUAUAUUGGUUUUAUUGAAUCUAUUCAUCAAUAAAUUGUAAUCAUUGUAAAUAUUUAAAUUAUCGUACCUACGCGCUGGGGAUGACGGAGUUCGAAUAUUGGCUGGGAAAAUAACUCAUCCCUAAACUACAAUUAGAUUACUAACUAGACCAAAACCUGAUUAACUACUUAUAGUAAGAGUGUCAUCAAAACACUUGUGUAAGUAAUACAUUUAUUUUAUAUUCGGAAUAUCUAAUCAAAUAAAUGAUUAAAGAGUAUUCAGAAUAUGUAUUCGAAUAAUUUUAAAAAUAUAUAUAUAUAUAUAGUCUAAUAUUUUUUUGCAGUUAAUUUUUGUUAAUUUUAUAAAAAGUUCUAAAUUAAAUGUUUCUCAAUAUUUAAUUAAAUGAACUAAUAACUGAUUAGUAUAACUAAUUGAAUAUUAUAUCAUUAAUAGGCC